ACAGAGGGUGCAAGCGUUAAUCGGAAUUACUGGGCGUAAAGCGUGCGUAGACGGUUACAUAAGUCGGGUGUGAAAGCCCCGGGCUCAACCUGGGAAUUGCAUUCGAGACUGCGUAGCUAGGGUGCGGAAGAGGGAAGCGGAAUUUCCGGUGUAGCGGUGAAAUGCGUAGAUAUCGGAAGGAACACCAGUGGCGAAAGCGGCUUCCUGGUCCAGCACCGACGUUCAGGCACGAAAGCGUGGGGAGCAAACAGG
RNAcentral lists this ribosomal RNA (252 nucleotides) under uncultured bacterium. RNAcentral's name for it is "partial 16S ribosomal RNA". It matches the Rfam family "Bacterial small subunit ribosomal RNA", at positions 525 to 776 of the family's 1533-position model. The record is from RNAcentral.